GCCAGGCACGGUGGUGCCUGUCUGUAAUCCCAGCAGCUUGGGAGGCUGAUGCAGAGGACUUCAAGUUUGAAGCCAGCCUCAGCAACUU
This 88-nucleotide small RNA is filed under the name Marmota monax (woodchuck). Lineage: Eukaryota; Metazoa; Chordata; Mammalia; Rodentia; Sciuridae. The record is from RNAcentral.